RNAcentral lists this long non-coding RNA (781 nucleotides) under Solanum tuberosum (potato). RNAcentral's name for it is "long non-coding RNA (STUB_LNC005594)". Lineage: Eukaryota; Viridiplantae; Streptophyta; Magnoliopsida; Solanales; Solanaceae. The record is from RNAcentral.
CUCGGAACUCAUCCAUGGCGGAGGAAUCGAUGUGGAGAGAAGUCGACUCUCCAUUUCCCUCUUUGUUUCCUACUUCAAUAGAGCUACUUCAAUAUAUUGUUCUACUUCAAUAGAGCUAUGCAUUCGAGAUAUUAAAGUUCAAGGAAGGAAGUUUACCUCAUCAACUCGUCUCCCUUAGUUUCCAAAGUCGGAACUUGAAGCUCUCCAGAUCUGACUAAUUUAGCUCCGGACUAGUUGAAGGUUAGAGUUUCUUUGGAGAAGAGCUAGUAGCAAUUGAAGAAAUGCAAUAUUGAGGAUCCGAUUCUCCGACGACUGGUGCUCGGAACUCAUCCAUGGCGGAGGAAUCGAUGUGGAGAGAAGUCGACUCUCCAUUUCCCUCUUUGUUUCCUACUUCAAUAGAGCUACUUCAAUAGAUUGUUCUACUUCAAUAGAGCUAUGUAUUCGAGAUAUUAAAGUUCAAGGAAGGAAGUUUACCUCAUCAACUCGUCUCCCUUAGUUUCCAAAGUCGGAACUUGAAGCUCUCCAGAUCUGACUGAUUUAGCUCAGGACGAGUUGAAGGUUAGAGUUUCUUUGGAGAAAAGCUGGUAGCAAUUGAAGAAAUGCAAUAUUGAGGAGCCGAUUCUCCGGCGGGUGGUGCUCAGAACUCAUCCAUGGCGAAGGAAUCGAUGUGGAGAAAAGUCGACUCUUCAUUUCCCUCUUUGUUUCCUACUUUAGUAUUGUCUUAUCCUUACCUUUUGUUUAUUUUGCUUUGGUUUUGUAUAGAAUUGUAUAUAUUCCUUUC